GACGAACGCUGGCGGCGUGCUUAACACAUGCAAGUCGAACGAAGCUUGAUUACGGAUUCUUCGGACGAAGUAUGAUAUGACUGAGUGGCGGACGGGUGAGUAACGCGUGAGUAACCUGCCCUUCAGAGGGGGAUAGCGCUUGGAAACGAUCGGUAAUACCGCAUAAUGUAUUUUGACCGCAUGAUCGAAAUACUAAAGAUGUAUCGCUGAAGGAUGGACUCGCGUCUGAUUAGGUAGUGGGUGGGGUAACGGCCUACUAAGCCGACGAUCAGUAGCCGGACUGGGAGGUUGAUCGGCCACAUUGGGACUGAGACACGGCACAGACUCCUACGGGAGGCAGGAGUGAGGAAUAUUGCACAAUGGACGCAAGCCUGAUGCAGCAACGCCGCGUGAAGGAAGACGGUUUUCGGAUUGUAAACUUCUGUUCUUAGUGAAGAAUAGUGACGGUAGCUAAGGAGCAAGCCACGGCUAACUACGUG
This 479-nucleotide ribosomal RNA is filed under the name uncultured bacterium. Its description in RNAcentral is "partial 16S ribosomal RNA". It matches the Rfam family "Bacterial small subunit ribosomal RNA", at positions 28 to 507 of the family's 1533-position model. The record is from RNAcentral.